GCGGAUUGAGGUCGUAAACAGAAAAUUUGGAAACCGGAUCAAAGUGCUGAGAAGUCGAAUUCGCUUCAUCCAUUUGGUCACAGGUUGUGUCCUGGGCUCCUCAGGAAAGGUUCUGCCCAAGUGGGGCUGGGAGCAGUUGGAAGUUACUUGCACCCCAUACCUGAAAGAAACCCUCAACUCCAUCUGGAAUGUGGAGGACCAUAUCAAUCCCAAGUUGCCAAACAUCAGCUUGGAUGUGCUGCAGCCCAGUUUUCCUGAGAUGUUGCUGGAAUCCCACAUGGUCAUGAUCCGGGGGAACAGUGGCCUCAAACCCAAGGACAAUGAGUUCACGUCCAAACCCUGGCACUGGCCUAUCAACUAUCAGGGCCUACGCUUCUCAGGGGUCAAUGACACAGAUUUCCGAGUCUAUCUGCUUGGCAACCCGGUGGUUUGGUGGCUCAAUCUGUUGAGCAUCACCCUCUACCUCCUCUCAGGGAGCAUCAUUGCUGUAGCCAUGCAGAGAGGGGCACGGCUGCCAGCGGAGGUUGCAGGUCAGGUCCUCCGGGCUCUCCCUCCCCUGACCUGGCGGCGGCAGGGCCGGCUGCCUGCUGAUGGGCCAUCCUUUGCGUUUACCACCGCACACCUUCCCUUACUCUUUGCUUUUGAAAGCUAACAACCCCCAAGUACCCAGUGCUGUGUUAAACACUUCACUUCCUCCCAACAACACUAGAGCGUUGGCUAUUAUGACCCCCAUUUUCUGGAUUAGGAAACCAAGGAACCACGAGAUUAAGAAACUUGCCCCAGGACAUACAGCUAGGUUGUCCCAGGUCCUGCUGCGAGGAGGCGGCCAGGUCCUGCUCGGCUGGACACUCC
RNAcentral lists this small RNA (852 nucleotides) under Pongo abelii (Sumatran orangutan). RNAcentral describes it as "retained intron". The record is from RNAcentral. Lineage: Eukaryota; Metazoa; Chordata; Mammalia; Primates; Hominidae.